Molecule: ribosomal RNA, 898 nt
Filed under: Thermotogae bacterium enrichment culture clone B6_23
Lineage: Bacteria; Thermotogati; Thermotogota; Thermotogae
Description: bacterial SSU rRNA
Rfam family: Bacterial small subunit ribosomal RNA
Source: RNAcentral
AGAGUUUGAUCAUGGCUCAGGGUGAACGCUGGCGGCGUGCUUGACACAUGCAAGUCGAACGGUAUGUGGCAACACAUAGAGUGGCGAACGGGUGAGUAACACGUGGGAACGUAUCUUUUGCAGGGGGAUAACUGACCGAAAGGACAGCUAAUACCGCAUAAGUCCGAGAGGAGAAAGGUGCAACAGCAUCGGCAGAAGAGCGGCCCGCGGUCCAUCAGCUAGUUGGUGAGGUAAGGGCUUACCAAGGCGACGACGGAUAGCCGGCGUGAGAGCGUGGCCGGCCACAAGGACACUGAGAUACGGGUCCUACUCCUACGGGAGGCAGCAGUGCGGAAUUUUAGAUAAUGGAGGGAACUCUGAUCUAGCGACGCCGCGUGCAGGAAGAAGGUCUUCGGAUUGUAAACUGCUGUGGUAAGGGAAAAAUGCUAUGUAGAGUGGAAAGCUACAUAGAGGGAUGGUACCUUACUAGAAAGCCCCGGCUAACUACGUGCCAGCAGCCGCGGUAAUACGUAGGGGGCGAGCGUUACCCGGAAUCACUGGGCGUAAAGGGAGCGUAGGUGGCCUAACAUGUCAACUGUGAAAACCCGGAGCUCAACUCCGGACUUGCAGUUGAAACUGGUAGGCUUGAGGACGGUAGAGGAAGACGGAACUGCCAGUGUAGGGGUAAAAUCCUUAGAUAUUGGCAGGAACGCCGGUGACGAACUGGUUUUCUGGGCCGGUUCUGACACUGAUGCUCGAAAGCCAGGGGAGCGAACGGGAUUAGAUACCCCGGUAGUCCUGGCCCUAAACGAUGUUCACUAUGUGUGGGGAGCGGAAAGCUCUCCGUGCUAAAGCUAACGCGAUAAGUGAACCGCCUGGGGAGUACGCCCGCAAGGGUGAAACUCAAAGGAAUUGACGG